This 1441-nucleotide ribosomal RNA is filed under the name metagenome. RNAcentral describes it as "SSU rRNA". It matches the Rfam family "Eukaryotic small subunit ribosomal RNA", at positions 1 to 1360 of the family's 1831-position model. The record is from RNAcentral.
UCUGGUUGAUCCUGCCAGUAGCUAUAUGCUUGUCUCAAAGAUUUAGCCAUGCAAGUGUCAGUAUAAGCUGUACAACGGCGAGACUGCGAAUUGCUCAUUAACUCAGUUAUGAUUCACUCGACUAUGGACUAGGAACUACACGGAUAACCGUAGAAAAUCUGGGGCUAAUACGUGCUUAAUAACCGUUCUCCUUGUGGGAGCGGGAGUACUUAUCUGAGAGACCGUAGUGACCGAAAGGUUGCCGGAAACCGAAACCCGAUGCCGUCCCUGUGGCGGCUUGUGUUGACCCAGGAUAAUUUAACGGACCGGCGAUUCAAGGGGCGCGUGAGUGCGCGCCCUCGCCCGGCGAGUCGAUCAAAUUUCUGUUCUAUCAAUUCAUGAAGGUAGGGUAGUGGCCUACCUUGAUAAUGACGGAUACGGGGGAUCAGGGUUCGACACCGGAGAGGAGGCCUGAGAGACGGCCGCCACAUCCAAGGAAGGCAGCAGGCGCGGAAAUUACCCUAAUCACAAAUCGUGGAGGUAGUGACAAGAAAUACCGACACGGGUUCCUUCGGGGACUUGUUACGUUGGAAUGAGGACAGUACAAAACCCUUACCGAGUAGCUAUUAGAGGGCAAGUUGGGUGCCAGCAGCCGCGGUAACACCCACUCUAAAAGUGUAUGUUAAAGUUGUUGCAGUUAAAACGCUCGUAGUUGGAUUCAGGGCCGGCCGUAGCCGUCGGAAGCCACCGGACUGGAGUAGCGGGGGGGUGCUUGCAUCCCUGCCGCCUCCGGAAAGGGGCCCCGGCAAAAGGCGGGUGCCAGCCCGGUUGUUACUUUGAACAAAACUUGGUGUUCAAGGCAUGUAGAUUCAAACCGCAUGAAAGUCUUAGCAUGGGAUAACAGAAUGACACGAUGUGUGAUUUUGUUGGGUUUUUGAUAUCGUGUAAUGGUUAAAUAGGGACAGUCUCGGGGGCGUAAGUAUUGGGCAGGUAGAGGUGGAAUUCGAUGAUCUGCCCAGGACUAACAGAAGCGAAGGCGUUUCGUCAAGGAUGUUUUCGUUGAUCAAGAACGAAAGUUAGGGGAUCGAAGACGAUUAGACACCGUCGUAGUCCUAACCGUAAACUAUCUCGACUAGGGAUCCGUGCAGGUAGCUGCCGUCAGGUACGCUGUACUGCGUGGGGACCUUCAGAGAGAUCGUUAAGUGUUUGGAGUCUGGGGGGAAGUAUUAUCGCAAGGUUGAAACUUAAACGGAAUUGACGGAAGAGCACCACAAGAGAUGGAGCUUGUUGCUUAAUUUGACCCAACGCGGGGAAGCUUACCAGGACUGGACUCUGGAAGGAUUGACAGGCUAAUGGGCCUUUCAAGAUUCUUAGAAUGGUGGUGCAUGGCCGUUCUUAGUUGGUGAAGCGAUUUGUCUGUGUUAAUUCCGUUAACGAGCGAGACCUCCGCCCCUAACUACCG